GCUGUAUCACUGAACCAUCUUACUUAAAACAUGAAUACAUAUGGGCCAUCAAGGCCUCUGACAUACUGUACAAACUGAACCCCUGUUUACAAAGCCUCUAAGAUUAUUAGACAUCAAAUGGGAUAGGGUACCGACCUACCCAUAAGUCUGUAGAAAAACUAUGACACGGAUGACUCAUAGACUCGGCUGCACUCCGAAUGAGGUGGAGUCUUACCGAUCCUUCAUUGAAUGCCAAUCUUGUCAACUAUGAGGGCUCAUCAAAUUGAUUAUCUAUACCUGCAGGCAUGAAUGCAGCGUCCCCAAUAAAAAGGAUGCCAGUGCGAAUAAUGUACUGAGUAUGUAAGGUAGNNNNNNNNNNNNNNNNNNNNNNNNNNNNNNNNNNNNNNNNNNNNNNNNNNNNNNNNNNNNNNNNNNNNNNNNNNNNNNNNNNNNNNNNNNNNNNNNNNNNNNNNNNNNNNNNNNNNNNNNNNNNNNNNNNNNNNNNNNNNNNNNNNNNNNNNNNNNNNNNNNNNNNNNNNNNNNNNNNNNNNNNNNNNNNNNNNNNNNNNNNNNNNNNNNNNNNNNNNNNNNNNNNNNNNNNNNNNNNNNNNNNNNNNNNNNNNNNNNNNNNNNNNNNNNNNNNNNNNNNNNNNNNNNNNNNNNNNNNNNNNNNNNNNNNNNNNNNNNNNNNNNNNNNNNNNNNNNNNNNNNNNNNNNNNNNNNNNNNNNNNNNNNNNNNNNNNNNNNNNNNNNNNNNNNNNNNNNNNNNNNNNNNNNNNNNNNNNNNNNNNNNNNNNNNNNNNNNNNNNNNNNNNNNNNNNNNNNNNNNNNNNNNNNNNNNNNNNNNNNNNNNNNNNNNNNNNNNNNNNNNNNNUUUCAGCCACUGUGGGCAAUACCAUCAUCGUAUACCAGUUGAUCAGGUGGUGGUGCGUAUAUAACACCGUAACCUUUUUCCAUAUCACAUAUACAUAUAUACACGUAUAUAAUGCCGUAUGAGGCAUGGGUAAAUGUACAUGUAAACGAAUGUAAUGGAUGAGACGUAUGUUAAUAAAAUCUAGAAUGUCAUAUGACCAUUCUGCCUUUAAACAAUAUCAUGAAAUAAACCUUUUUCAACUUACGUAUUUUCUGAGACCCAUGAACAGAUUAUAGAAUAAUAUGAUACAUGGGGAAUCAAGAACAUAAGCAUCUCUAAUAUUUCUAUGAAUAAAGUCAUGUAUGAAAAUUGUAAAUUUGCUCGUUUCCUUUGUGUCGUAUGGAUCAUGCCAAAAAGAAAGAAGGGAUAGCCUUAACAUACCUGAGUUGAAACUUAAGUGACUGAACUUUAACCUCAAAUCAGCCUUCUUUCCUGUCAAUUCAUGAAUUUUGUUCAACAAAAGUUUGUAACACUCUCAAAACUAGGACAGCCUGUGAAGAAUCCCAACUAAUCUAUACUUGAGGAAUCACGCCCUCAGAAUCACAGUGGUGAAUUUGAUUCCAUAGCUACCCAGCUUAGAUGACUCAAAAUUUUUGCCAACAUAUUGUACUUAACCAAGUCACUAACAUGUUUUCUUUCAUCUUUAUAAUGGCAAAAUAUAAAUAAUAGGUAAUGGGACAAUGCCUAUAUAAUAUGCACAACUGAAUUCUAAGUCAGAACAAUUGCAUUCACAAAAAGUUAGAUGCAAAGACAAAUACCGAGAAAGGAAAAAAAAGAUUAUUUGAAAUAUAAUUUGUCUUGGUUCAUGUUUGACAACUUUAAGCUGAACGAAAGGCAAUUUUCUUCAUAUCCUCCAACUGAUUCAAUCCAUUUACUCAUUUAGUAGUGACUGACAGGUGAUACAUGGAUCUCCCCAAAUCUUGCCACAUGAUAAAUAAAUAUGUCACCUAUCACUCAAUUGUAAGAGUCACAAUUUGGUUAUGGCCUUGCUGCCACGUGACAUUUUGGUCUUUAUCCAAAAAAUCUUAAUUAACCACUAAUUAAUAUUUAAGAAUGGUUUCAAAUUAAUUAAAAUUCUAUUUACUUUUAAUACACCUUAUACAUACUACUAUCAUGGUUAUAUGGUACCAUAUAAAAUAAAUAAAUAUAUUUUCUUAACUUCUAAUUUUUCUAUACUCAUAUAAAGAGUAAAAUUUUGUCCGCUUAAUUCUUAAAAUAGUAAAAUAUAACCUUCUUUUCUUGUGAGAAAAUAAUUUUUAUCUUUAUAAUAAAGAAAAUAUCAUAAAAUUUCCUAUAUUACGUGUAUAAUUUAAAAUAUAUUUGAAAUUAGUAAUAUUAAUAACUAUAUAAUAUCAUAUAUUUUUUUCAAACUAUUUUUGUAAAAAGUGUUCCACUCAAAAUAUCAUAUCAAAUACCUCAAUAUGGAACUAGAUACAUACUUAGACAUGCUUAAAUAUCACUUUACGGGAAUGAAUAACAUACACAUCCUUAAUUGCUAAGAGUAAAAUCACUUAUGGAAUAUCAUUACGUUUACGUAUCGUUACUUGGAACAUAUUUUUGUGUUGUCAUUAGAAAUCUGAAAUACAGUAGCCAAUAUGUAUCUUAAACAAUGAUUCUUUAUUUUUCAAACCAACGAUGCAAGCAUACUAUUACGCGGCGCCUUCUUGAGAUUCCUUGGAAGGGCGACGUAAGGCUAAGCAACUGAUGUCUGUGCAGUUACUGUCCGCCAACUGAGGUCCCCUCCGUACGCUAGACGAGAUUGUCAGUGCCGUACGGGAAAAUCAAUGUCAAGAGCAAUUGAGAGAACAUAAAUGAGAAUUGAGAAUGAAAGAAAGCUUGAUUGCAUUAAUGAAAGUUAUUACAGAAAGGUAACGCGGUGUCGAGGGGGAGAGACACCAGUACAGAGAAUUGUUUGCUUGCUAGAAAGUUUUGAGUGCUUGACUCCCUAAUGAUGCUUAAAUAAAAUAAACCAAAUCUACAAGACUAGACUUGAUUAAGCUUGAGAAACAUAAUGGAAGUACUUGGAAUAAAACUACCCUAUAUUUACAAUGAAAAGGACUUAGUUUUCUACAAGGCAGCAACAUGUCCGUUGUCAACAACAUAGUUUUGGCAUCAGGGUCUGCGCGCGCGGCGCUGUUGGCAUUUGCCUGCAGCUGGGCGCUGGCGAGGGAUAUCGGUGGGGCAACAGAGGCACAUACGCGCUUGUCACUUGGCGCGGCCAAGACCACGGGGCCGUCCGUGGCGCUAGGCAUUGGGAGGCUUGCUAGGACACCACGGGGUGCGCCCAGGGAGUCAUGGGUCAUGGCUGGAAAGCUGCCCAUGAAAUUCUCCCCUACCUGAGUUGGCGACGUCCUCGGUGCCUUACUUGCAAGAUAAUCUUCAAUUAGGCUCUUGUAGGCUUUGAGGUUUGUUCCCCUCUCCCAAGUGUUCUCCUCUGCAUCAAAGCCCUGCCAUUUCACCAAGAACUCUUGGUGAUCUUUCCUUGAGACAUGAAUCACUCUAUCAUCAAGGAUAGCUUCAACACGCCUUUUUCCGGUUGAAUUGGGACCUCGAAUACUGGGUAUUGUGAGCUGGUUCUGUGAAGGAUCCUCCGUGUCUUCCCUAAAAGGUUUCAGGAGGCUAACAUGGAAGACAGGAUGAAUUUUCCACCAAGCUGGGGUAUCUACCCGGUAUGCAACUUUCCAAUGCGCCUUUCAAUGGACAAGGGUCAAAUGUAUUUUUGCAAUAGGCGAGGGUCAUGGACCCCCGUAAAUAAGUACCUCUUUGGAAUUUUGACCAUCACUUUGUCUCUUACUUGGUAUUCAACAAAGCGACGAUUCUGAUCAGCAUGCCUCUUCAUCCGCUUUUGAGCCUUGACAAGAUAGCUCCGUACUAUCUCCAAAUUACGCUUCCACUCUUUUGAGAAGCUAGCAGCUCGAGGAGAUUUAGACAUAUUUGGUGCAUUGACUGUGUGUGAGAGUAGAGGUUGUUGUUCGGUAAUAAUUUAAAAAGCAUUUUUGUUUGUACUAAAGCUCUUUUGUGAAUUAAAACACAUUUGAGCAGCAUCCAGAAGCUUCACCCAAUUCUUCUGCGACCCGGUUACAAAGUGGCGGAGAUAUUUCUCCAAUAUACCAUUGAACCGCUCCGUCUGGCCAUCAGAUUGCGGAUGAAAACUUGAGCUGUGACUCAGCUUUGACCCAAGGCACUUAAAGAGUUAGGUCCAAAAGUUGCUAGUGAAGCGUGAGUCGCGAUCACUAACAAUGUCUUUGGGCAGGCCCCAAUAUUUGACCACAUGAGAGAAGAAGAGUCGAGUUGUAUCUUCUGCUGAUAUAUAUUUUGCGGCAGCAAUAAAGUUAGCAUACUUGGAAAACCGAUCUACCAGAACCAAAGUAGUUGUGAGGUCUCCGACCUUGGGCAAUUCGGUGACGAAAUCCAAGGAAAUGCUUUCGCAAUGUCUCUUUGGGACAGCUAGUGGUUCCAAGAGUCCCGCUUGUGUCAAGUGGUCCGACUUGUCCUUCUGGCAUACUAGACAAGUCUUCACAUACUGAGCGAUGUCAUCAGCCAUUUGAGGCCAAUAAUAUGCACGGCGAAGUAAUACCAUAGUGCGUUCCUCACUGGGAUGGCCGGCCCACAGAGUAUCAUGACAUUCCGCCAGAAGAGUCCUUCGCAGAUCUCCUCCUUUAGGAACAUAAAGUUAGUUCCCUUUCACUUUCAGGAAACCAUCUUCCAUGUAGAACUAGCGAGUCUUGCCCUAUCGUACCAAAUCAACCAAAUACUAUGCAGCAGGAUCCUUGAUGAGUAGAUCCUGUAUCUGGUCCUUGAUUGAGGUGGCUACUUCGCUCCCCUUUUACGGUGGCGAGUAGGCACACCGAUGCUAGAUCAGCUCUCCAACUGAGUGCAUCAGCAACAUGAUUGGUCUUCCCACUUUGGUACUCCAGGUUGAAGUGGAAUUCUGCUUGGAGUUCCUGCCACCUGGCCUAUCGACCAUUCAACUUCGGCUAGGUAAUGAAAUGGCUAACAGCUGUGUUGUCUGUCUUGACCACGAACGGGGUCCCCAACAGAUAGUGCCUCCAAAGGCGCAAGUAGUGGACGACAACCAAUAAUUCUUUCUCCUGGGAGGCAUAGCACUGCUCUGCAUCCUUUAACUUCCGACUCUCGUACUCUACAGGAUGCCCUUCUUGUAGAAAGACUCUGCCGGGGGCAUAAUCGGAUGCAUCUGUUUGUACCUCGAAUGGCUUGGCCAGAUCAGGGAGGGCCAAGAUAGGGCUACUAGACAUAGCCGCUUUCAAUGCGUUGAAGGCCUCCACUCGCCUAGUUCCCCAAUCCCAAGGCAUGACCUUCUUGAGGAGUUCUGUCAAUGGUACUACAAUGAGGCAGUAGUUUUUCACAAAUCGCCGAUAGAAAUUGCAUAGACCAAGGAACGUCCUCAAGGCGUGGAUAUCCUUAGGCGGCAACCAAUCUGUGAUUGCCUAAAUCUUCUAUUAGUCCAUCUUGAUCUGCCCUUCCUCGAUGACAUGUCCGAGGAAGUCAAUUUGCUUUUGAGCAAAUGAGCACUUAGAUAGCUUCGCUUAUAGUUCAUGCUCCCGCAAUCGAGCUAGGACCUUCCACAAGUGCACCAGAUGUUCCUCCAAUGUUUGGUUAUAUACCACAAUGUCAACAAAGUAGACCACCACGAAUUCGUCAAUGUACUCUCAGAAGACUUGGUUCAUCAAGGUGCAAAACGUAGUUGGGGCAUUGGUCAAGCCGAACGACAUAACCAGGAAGUCGUACGACCCAUAUCUUAUCACAUAGGUCGUUUUGUGUUCAUCACCCUCUACAAUCCGAACUUGCCAAUAACCUAUCUUCGGGUCUAUCUUGUUGAACACCGUCGCACCACCCAGUCUAUCGAACAAGUCUGCCAUUAGCAGAAUAGGGUAUUUGUUCUUCACAGUGAUAUUGUUUAGAGCCCGAUAGUCCACACAAAGUCGCAGGCUGCCAUCAUAUUUCUUUUAGAAUAGAACAGGGGACCCGUAUGGGGAUUUGGAGGGCACGAUAAUCCCUGUGUCUAGCAUUUCCGUCAAUUGUCUCCGAAGCUCGGUGAGUUCGGGUUGUGACAUUUUGUAAAGUGCCUGAGCGGGUGGCUUUGCACCCAGCACCAGAUCAAUUUCAUGGUCCACAGUGUGCCUAGGCGGUAGUGGCUUUGGCAUGUAUUGUGGCAUGACAUCUUCAAAAUCCAGUAGUGGCUCCUUCACAGGCUCAAGAAUGGGACCCGAGGAGCGUUCUACAUCUUCAAUGCAAAGGGUUGCUAGGAACGUAGGUUCAUGUCUUUUGACCCCCUUCUUCAACUACAAGGCUGAGAUAUUUUCAACGGCCAUCUUCAUGGGCAUGCACGGGAUAAUGCAGGGCUUGGUCCCAUUUGCUCCCAUCAUCAGUAACAUGUCAACAUACGGUACAAGCAUGGUGUUGGUUUGCCUCAGGAAUUCCAAUCCAACUAUCAACUUGAAGUCAUUUAUGAUCACCACGCGCAAGUUGAAUUUUCCUUCGUAAGGGCCAAGCUUCACUGGUACCUCUUUGGCUAUCCCACCCACUGGCUGAUGAGGUGAGUUGAUAGACUUGACACUACCUCUGCCCUUUCCUACAACUAGACCAAGGCGCUCCACCUAAGUCGAGGCUAAGUAGUUGUGUGUAGCACCCAUAUCUAUCAUCGCCCGAAUGGGCUUGCCAUUUACCUUUAUCUCAACGAACAUUAAGGUCCUCUCUUGUUUAGGAGGAGUCCUCUCACCCGCCUUCUUUUUCCCUUUCUUGGUGUUUGGGCAGGGGUCCUUCUUCUUACGGAUACCAGCACUGGUACCCACUAAGGCCUCAGAAAUAGAGCCAACAAUUGCAUUGAAUGUACCUACAGGUUCAGUCUGGUCUGCAUCGUCUGUCCCAUCAUCAAAGGCUUGAUGGGCGUUCAGCUGUGCAUGUGGACACUCAUUAUUCUAAUGUGGUCCGCCGUAAUGACGACAUCCUAAGGGAGGCUUUCUCCCCUGGUCAUUGUUGUUUGAUGCAGCACUAUUGUUGCCUAAAGAGGGAGCCUUAGAUUUUGUUGCACUCUGAUCUCCCCGCUUCUGCUAGGGCCACCAUUGCUAGGUUGGCCCCCUUUGAAUCCCGCUCAGGCAGGCGGCUGAGGCUUAUCCUUUCGAUCUUCCACUUGAUAGUCCCCAAGGCAUUCAACUACUUGGAUCACCUUGGGCAGGGUAUCUACCCUUUGCCUUUGCAGUUCCAUACGGGCAUAAGGUUUCAAACCUUCUAGGAAGGUGAAGAGCUUGUCUUUGUCCCCCAUGUCACGUAUGUUUAGCAUGAGCGCAGAGAAUUCCCGCACGUAGUCCCGCACUGACUUGGUCUGGCGGAUCUCCUGUAGCUUUCUCCUUGUGUUGUAUUCAAUAUUUUCGGGGAAUAACUAUAGGUGUAUGGCUGCCUUCAAUUCUGCCCAUGUCUCGAGACCAUCUUCACCGGACAUGAUGGCUUCGUACUUCAUCCACCACCAGAGUUUAGCAUCACCCUGAAGAUACAUGGCAGUAGUUGCUACCUUCUUAGCUUCUUCUAGGCCCCCAACAACAUCACAAUAUUGUUCGAUGUCAAAGAUGAAGUUUUUCACUUUCUUGGCAUUCCUAGCUCUACUGUAUGGCUUUGACUCAGGAAUUUUUAGUUUUUGUGUCGCAGAAGCGGGGUUCACAGCGCCCCCGAUUUGGUUUCCAUCUCCUCGAAGCAGGCCCUGUAAAGCAGCAUUGACAACAUUUAGCUUGUCUGUCAAAUCGUCAAUGUGGCUGUCACCGUGUCGGCCUCUUGUUCCCUGUAAGCUAAAUCCUCGGAACGCUCCUGUUGGAGUCCCUCAAAUUUGCCAAAUAUUUUGGCUGCCUCUGUGGCUGCCGUUUGUUGGUCCCCAUCGGAGUCGCGAUUGAUGUUUUCUAUGUCAACUUCGGCCUGGAGCACCCUGCGGUCCAGGCCGUCCAACCUUUAUACUAGGCUGGUUCUUAGUUCAGGCACCGCAUACACGAUGGGCAUAAUCCAUCAACCAUCUGUUCAAGGGACGCAAUGCGGUCCCCAUGAUUCACCAUGGUCAGAAAUGGUAGUAAUGACAAUGCAUUCCCUCGUCCGAUGUCAAGCCUAGGCACUGAUACCAACUGUUAUGCGGCGCUUUCCUGAGAUUCCUUGGAAGGGAGACGUAAGGCUAAGCAACUGAUGUCUGUGCAGUUACUGUCCGCCAACUGAGGUCCCCUCCGUAUGCUAGACGAGAUUAUCAGUGCCGUAAGGGAAAACCAAUGUCAAGAUCAAUUGAGAGAACAAAAAUGAGAAUUGAGAAUGAAAGAAAGCUUGAUUGCAUUAAUGAAAACUAUUACAGAAAGGUAACGCGGUGUCGAGGGGGAGAGACACCAGUACAGAGAAUUGUUUGCUUGCUAGAAAGUUUUGAAUGUUUGAUCCCCCUUAUAAUGCUUAAAAAAAAUAAACCAAAGCUACAAGACUAGACUCGAUUAAGCUAGAGAAACAUAAUGUAAGUACAUGGAAUAAAACUACUUUAUAUUUACAAUGAAAAGGACUUAGUUUUCUACAAGGUAGAAACAGGUCCGUUGUCAGCAGCAUAGUCUUUGGCAUCAGGGUCUGCGCGCACGGCACUGGUGAGGGAUAUCGGUGGGGCGAUAGAGGCACAUGAGCGCUUGUCACUUGGCGUGGCCAAGACUACGUGGUUGUCUGUGGAGCUAGGCAUUGGGAGUCUUGCUAGGACGCCACAGGGUGCGCCCAAGGGGUCAUGGGUCAUGGCUGGAAAGCCGCCCAUGAAAAUAGUUGCACAUAAAGCGUGAACAAAAGUUAACAAAGCCACACCAAAGACCAACUAAAAGAAUAAAAAAAGUUACUUAUGUGGACUUUGUGCAAAUUGCUAUUUUUUUAUUUCAUUUUCUUUUCUUUUCCUUAAUUAGAUUUGUAAUACUUUUCAACACCAGAUCUUAUUAGAUUCCAAUUUUUCCUCUAAUCCUCUUUCACACAUUCCUUAAUCAGAUUAAGAAAAAGAAAUCAAAACCGAAUUAGAUCCUAAUAGAAUAUAACAAUCCUUUAUCCUAUGUUUCUUAAUUAAAUACUCUAUAGAUUUCAAAGAACUACGCUGUAUUCACAAUUCUUCAUUGCCAACUCUAGAACAAAGGAGAAAAAACUGAGAAAGCAUGGAAUAACAUGUUGUUAAACUUAUAGGGUCUUACAAUAACAUAGUCACAAAUCCUCUAUAAUCUCAUGAAUGGUCUUAAUUUCUUCAAGCUCAUAUGAAUUACUACGAUUUAUCCUAAUAUUAAAGUAUGAGAUGUAACAUCUUUCCCCCUUUUAGAAUAUUCGUCCUCGAAUGUUAACUCUUAGAGAUUUACAAAAUUUUUAUUAGGGUCUCCUCUGUAAAUUAAACUAAAAUCCCAAAACUAUAUCUGAAGUUUCGACCAUUCACAACUUUUUCUUCUUCACCCUUACCUUACUUAUUUUUCAAUCUCGCAUCAUAUCUUCUGUUUCUUUCAUAACCUCCCUUCCACAUUACGCCUUAAAGCUCUACUGUGAUACCUGCACCUCUGGUGCAUACAAAAUCUGACGAAAGCUUCAUACCAACUUCUUACGACUCAGCUCUAUGGCACGAUCUGGAAAUAAAACAAGGGUAAUAUUUACUAAAUUCUCUAUAUCCUCUCAAUUAUAAACAUGGCGCGCAACACACCCAUAAGUGAGACUCUACUAGGCACGCUUUGUAGACUCCCUAGGAUACAACCCGCUCUGAUACCACUUUGUCACGCCCCAAACCUGAGAGGCGUGCUGGCACCCGGUGCCGUAGUGGCCCGAGCGAACCACUCUGUAACUCAUCCAUUCAUUUUGUAACUAUCAUGGGCCCACAUGGCCAUAAUUCAUAAUGUACAAUUAUAAGUGGAAAAUACUGUAUCACUGAACCAUCUUACUUAAAACAUGAAUACAUAUGGGUCGUCAAGACCUCUGACAUACUGUACAAACUGAACCCCUGUCUAAAAAAGCCUCUAAGAUUAUUAGACAUCAAAUGGGACGGGAUACCGACCUACCCAUAUGUCUGUAGAAAAACUAUGACACAAUGACUCAUAGACUCGGCUGCACUCCAAAUGAGGUAGAGUCUUACCGAUCCUUUGUUGAAUGCCAAUCUCGUCAACUAUGAGGGCUCGUCAAAUUGAUUAUCUAUACCUGCAAGUAUGAAUGCAGCAUCCCAACAAAAAGGACGUCCGUACGAAUAAUGUACUGAGUAUGUAAGGUAGAACUCAAACAUAAUCAUAAUUCAACAUUAAUU
Molecule: long non-coding RNA, 10166 nt
Filed under: Nicotiana tabacum (common tobacco)
Lineage: Eukaryota; Viridiplantae; Streptophyta; Magnoliopsida; Solanales; Solanaceae
Description: long non-coding RNA (NTAB_LNC002640)
Source: RNAcentral